AGGCUUCGAGUUUCAACCCCCACAUCGGUUCCGACCUAGGUAUCCACUAUCGAUUCUCAACUCCAAUAGUACAUGCGAUGGAUCGUUGAGCCACACUCUUUUCGAUGCCGGCUUUAAUUGCCAUAUUUGGAAAGGUUGAUAGAAAACCCCAUACAAUCCCGUCAAUUCAUGCCACUACUGAGAGCAGCUAGCUAUCGACCAGAUAAGACAGCUACAACUAUUCAAGAUUGAGAAAUUAGGU
RNAcentral lists this long non-coding RNA (241 nucleotides) under Elaeis guineensis (African oil palm). RNAcentral's name for it is "long non-coding RNA (EGUI_LNC029306)". Lineage: Eukaryota; Viridiplantae; Streptophyta; Magnoliopsida; Arecales; Arecaceae. The record is from RNAcentral.